UUUCAGGUGGCAGAUUAAUGCAUAGGCUUUAAGCGCCUUUUAUGGGUUUAAGCCCCCAGAAAA
This 63-nucleotide transfer RNA is filed under the name Tigriopus californicus. RNAcentral describes it as "tRNA-Leu". Lineage: Eukaryota; Metazoa; Arthropoda; Copepoda; Harpacticoida; Harpacticidae. The record is from RNAcentral.